GGUUAGGAUUAGGGUCGGGGUUAGGAUUAGGAUUACGGUUAGGAUUAGGGUUAAGGUUUAGGGUCGUGAUUAGGGUUAGGAUCAUGGUUAGGAUUAGGGUCCUGCUGAGGGUCCCGGUAAGGAUUAGGGUCAAGAUUAGGAUUAGGGUCCCGAUUAGGAUUAGGGUCGGGAUUAGGAUUAGGGUCGUGGUCAGGAUUAGGGUCAUGGUUAGGAUCACGGUUAUCAUUAGGGCCACAGUUAGGAUCACGGUUCGGAUUAGGGUCCUGCUUCGGGUCCUGGUAAGGAUUAGGGUCAGGAUUAGGAUUAGGGUCAGGUUUAGGGUCGGGAUUAGGAUUAGGAUUAGGAUCAUGGUUAGGGUCAUGGUUAUGGUUAGGGUCAUGGUUAUCAUUAGGGCCACAGUUAGGAUCACGGUUCGGAUUAGGGUCCUGCUUCGGGUCCUGGUAAGGAUUAGGGUCAAGAUUAGGAUUAGGGUCGCGAUUAGGAUUAGGGUCCCGAUUAGGAUUAGGGUCGGGAUUAGGAUUAGGGUUGGGAUUAGGAUUAGGGUCAUGGUUAGGAUCACGGUUAUCAUUAGGGCUCCAGUUAGGAUCACGGUUCGGAUUAGGGUCCUGCUUCGGGUCCUGGUAAGGAUUAGGGUCGGGAUUAGGAUUAGGGUCCCGAUUAGGAUUAGGGUCGGGAUUAGGAUUAGGGUCAUGGUCAGGAUUAGGAUCAUGGUUAGGGUCAUGGUUCUCAUUAGGGUCAUGGUUAUCGUUAGGGCCACGGUUAGGAUCACGGUUCGGAUUAGGGUCCUGCUUCGGGUCCUGGUCAGGAUUAGGGUCAAGAUUAGGAUUAGGGUCGGGAUUAGGAUUAGGGUCGGGAUUAGGAUUAGGGUCAUGGUCAGGAUUAGGGUCAUGCUUAGGGUCAUGGUUCUCAUUAGGGCCACGGUUAGGAUCAUGGUUAGGAUUAGGGUCCUGCUUCGGGUCCUGGUAAGGAUUGGGGUCAGGAUUAGGAUUCGGGUCCCGGUUAGGAUUAGGGUCGGGAUUAGGGCCGGGAUUAGGAUUAGGAUCAUGGUUAGGGUCAUGGUUCUCAUUAGGGUCAUGGUUAUGGUUAGGAUCACGGUUCGGAUUAGGGUCACGCUUAGGGUCCUGGUAAGGAUUAGGGUCGCGAUUAGGAUUAGGGUCCCGAUUAGGAUUAGGGUCAGGUUUAGGGUCGGGAUUAGGAUUAGGAUCAUGGUUAGGGUCAUGGUUCUCAUUAGGGUCAUGGUUAGGAUCAUGGUUAUCAUUAGAGUCAUCGUUAUCAUUAGGAUCACGGUUCGGAUUAGGGUCCUGCUUCGGGUCCUGGUAAGGAUUAGGGUCAAGAUUAGGAUUAAGGUCCCGAUUAGGAUUAGGGUCGGGAUUAGGAUUAGGGUCAUGGUCAGGAUUAGGGUCAUGGUUAGGGUCAUGGUUCUCAUUAGGGUCAUGGUUAUCGUUAGGGCUACGGUUAGGAUCACGGUUAGGAUUAGGGUCCUGCUUCGGGUCCUGGUCAGGAUUAGGGUCGGGAUUAGGAUUAGGGUCGCGAUUAGGAUUAGGGUCAGGUUUAGGGUCGGGAUUAGGAUUAGGAUCAUGGUUAGGGUCAUGGUUCUCAUUAGGGUCAUGGUUGUCGUUAGGGUCAUGGUUAUGGUUAGGAUCACGGUUUGGAUUAGGGUCACGCUUAGGGUCCUGGUAAGGAUUGGGGUCAAGAUUAGGAUUAGGGUCGGGAUUAGGAUUAGGGUCGGGAUUAGGAUUAGGGUCAUGGUCAGGAUUAGGGUCAUGGUUAGGGUCAUGGUUAUCAUUAGGGCCACGGUUAGGAUCACGGUUCGGAUUAGGGUCCUGCUUCGGGUCCUGUUCCGCGCGUCGCUGCAGCUGCUGAUGGCGACGCUGGACGGCACGACGCCGCACUACGUGCGCUGCAUCAAACCCAACGACCGCAAGCUCCCGUUCACGUGAGUCCCGGCCAGGUCCUGGAAGCUGCGUAAAGCUCGGCGCCGUUCCGAGCGGCCUCGUUAGCUAACGAGCGCUAACGAGGGCUCCGUGCCGCGCGGCGCUCCCAACACCUAAACCCCAACCCAACCCCACCCCAACCCCAAUCCUGACUCUAAACCCAACCCUGACCCUAAACCCAACCCUGACCCCAAUCCUGACCCUAAACCCAACCCUGACCCUAAACCCAACCCCGACCCUAAUCCUGACCCUAAACCCAACCCCGACCCUAAACCCCAACCCAACCCCAACCCUAAACCCAACCCUGACCUCAAACCCAACCCAACCCCGACCCCAAUCCUGACCCUAAACCCCAACCCAACCCCACCCCAACCCCAAUCCUGACCCUAAACCCAACCCUGACCCCAAACCCAACCCAACCCCAAUCCUGACCCUAAACCCAACCGCGACCCUAAACCCAACCCCAAUCCUAACCCCAACCCCAAACCCAACCCCGACCCUAAACCCAACCUAACCCCGACCCUAAACCCAACCCAACCUUAUAGGCUUAUAGGGGAUCUCGGUGGUUAUAGGGGAUCUCUGGGGUUGUAGGGUUGGUUAUAGGGGAUUUCUGGGGUUGUAGGGCGGUUUAUAGGGGA
This 2572-nucleotide long non-coding RNA is filed under the name Numida meleagris (helmeted guineafowl). RNAcentral describes it as "lncRNA (ENSNMEG00000002160.1)". Lineage: Eukaryota; Metazoa; Chordata; Aves; Galliformes; Numididae. The record is from RNAcentral.